GUAGGGAAUAUUGUGCAAUGGGGGAAACCCUGACACAGCCAUGCCGCGUGUGUGAAGAAGGCCCUAGGGUUGUAAAGCACUUUCAGUUGUGAGGAAUAAGCCGGGUUAAUACCCUGGUUUAAUGACGUUAGCAACAGAAGAAGUACCGGCUAACUCCGUGCCAGCAGCCGCGGUAAUACGGAGGGUACGAACGUUAAUCGGAAUUACUGGGCGUAAAGCGCACGUAGGUGGUUUAUUAAGUGGGAUGUGAAAGCCCCGGGCUCAACCUGGGAACUGCAUUCCAAACUGAUGAACUAGAGUACGGUAGAGGGGGGUAGAAUUCAGAGUGUAGCGGUGAAAUGCGUAGAUAUUCUGAGGAAUACCGGUGGCGAAGGCGGCCCCCUGGAUUGAUACUGACACUGAGGUGCGAAAGCGUGGGGAGCAAACAGG
This 429-nucleotide ribosomal RNA is filed under the name uncultured bacterium. RNAcentral's name for it is "bacterial SSU rRNA". It matches the Rfam family "Bacterial small subunit ribosomal RNA", at positions 354 to 776 of the family's 1533-position model. The record is from RNAcentral.